UGCGCUGGGGAGGCUGCUUGCUACAAGCUCCCAAAGCUCUGGGAGGACAUAGUAUUCAUUCCUCCCUCAGCAGAAGCGGUGAGGCAAGAAGCUCUGGGGAGCACCCAGCCUUGGACUUUUAGCAUAGUGUGUCAGGUCUUCAUAGUUUGGGCCCAGGGCACAGAGAAGUCACAGCUCUCCGGCAUCCUGUGACCUUUACCCUCUUUGCCAAGGGAAAAUGUGGCCCACCAAAGCAAGAAACUUGAGGGCAUGGGUCACCCCAGCCCUGGCAUCUGCCCAGAGCCCGAGAAGGAAGGAACAAUGAUCCUCCAGCUACCUCACGGGGCUGGCACAGGUGACCACUGCCCUGGCAUCACCCAGCUGUGUCCGGCAGCCUGAACCCCAUCUGUGGGGAUGUGAGGAGGAAAAUACAAAAGUCCUUAGGUGAACACUGAGAAGGCAGAUGCAGCAGAAACCUCCAGGCCAGAACUACCCAGUCUUGGACCUAUGGUGGAGAUAGAGCAUAGCUGGCGAUCAUGUAUACUUACACUCUAAGGUCACCUGGUUGCACUGUGGCCUCAUCUGUGGCUCUGAAAAUGAAGAUUUGGAAGGAGAUCAUCACAGCUAAUGUUAACAAGCCCCU
This 622-nucleotide long non-coding RNA is filed under the name Homo sapiens (human). RNAcentral's name for it is "HSALNT0248127". The record is from RNAcentral. Lineage: Eukaryota; Metazoa; Chordata; Mammalia; Primates; Hominidae.